Molecule: ribosomal RNA, 313 nt
Filed under: uncultured Cellulosimicrobium sp.
Lineage: Bacteria; Bacillati; Actinomycetota; Actinomycetes; Micrococcales; Promicromonosporaceae
Description: bacterial SSU rRNA
Rfam family: Bacterial small subunit ribosomal RNA
Source: RNAcentral
GCAGCGACGCCGCGUGAGGGAUGAAGGCCUUCGGGUUGUAAACCUCUUUCAGCAGGGAAGAAGCGCAAGUGACGGUACCUGCAGAAGAAGCGCCGGCUAACUACGUGCCAGCAGCCGCGGUAAUACGUAGGGCGCAAGCGUUGUCCGGAAUUAUUGGGCGUAAAGAGCUCGUAGGCGGUUUGUCGCGUCUGGUGUGAAAACUCGAGGCUCAACCUCGAGCUUGCAUCGGGUACGGGCAGACUAGAGUGCGGUAGGGGAGACUGGAAUUCCUGGUGUAGCGGUGGAAUGCGCAGAUAUCAGGAGGAACACCGAU